CCUACGGGAGGCAGCAGUGGGGAAUAUUGGACAAUGGGGGGAACCCUGAUCCAGCGACGCCGCGUGAGUGAAGAAGUAUUUCCGUAUGUAAAGCCCUAUCAGCAGGGAAGAAAGAAAUGACGGUUCCUGACUACCAAGCCCCGGCUAACUACGUGCCAGCAGCCGCGGUAAUACGUAGGGGGCAAGCGUUAUCCGGAUUUACUGGGUGGAAAGGGAGUGUUGACGGGGAUGCAAGCCUGAAGGGAAAGGCGGGGGGCCAACCUCCGGACUGCUUUGGAAACUGUGGGGCUGGAGUGCGGGAGAGGUAAGUGGAAUUCGUGGUGUAGCGGUGAAAUGCGUAGAUAUUAGGAGGAACACCAGUGGCGAAGGCGGCUUGCUGGACUGUAACUGACGUUGAGGCUCGAAAGCGUGGGGAGCAAACAGGAUUAGAUACCCCUGUAGUC
This 443-nucleotide ribosomal RNA is filed under the name uncultured bacterium. RNAcentral describes it as "partial 16S ribosomal RNA". It matches the Rfam family "Bacterial small subunit ribosomal RNA", at positions 338 to 795 of the family's 1533-position model. The record is from RNAcentral.